Heteronotia binoei (common prickly gecko) is the source of this 107-nucleotide small nuclear RNA. Lineage: Eukaryota; Metazoa; Chordata; Lepidosauria; Squamata; Gekkonidae. The record is from RefSeq and is a predicted model, not a curated record.
GCCAGCUUCGGCAGCACAUAUACUAAAAUUGGAACGAUACAGAGAAGAUUAGCAUGGCCCCUGCGCAAUAGGAGGACUUCCGGGAUAGGAAAAUGCUGAGCUAAGCU